GCCCUCGUAGCCCAACGGUAGAGGCACGGUCGUGAGGCGGCCGAGAGGUGGCGCGUUCGAAUCGCCCCGAGGGCACCA
RNAcentral lists this transfer RNA (78 nucleotides) under Micromonospora musae. RNAcentral describes it as "Micromonospora sp. MS1-9 tRNA-Leu". The record is from RNAcentral. Lineage: Bacteria; Bacillati; Actinomycetota; Actinomycetes; Micromonosporales; Micromonosporaceae.